GGGGAGCAUCCAAAAGCUUGAGAUGUUUCCUGAUACAACCUUCCAACAUAAAACCUCUGUAGUUUCCUGCUUGUAGUACUAGAGCAGUUCUGCAAGUCUCAGAUUACCAGAGACAUGU
This is a small nucleolar RNA of Corylus avellana, 118 nucleotides long. RefSeq annotates it as small nucleolar RNA snoR104. The record is from RefSeq and is a predicted model, not a curated record. Lineage: Eukaryota; Viridiplantae; Streptophyta; Magnoliopsida; Fagales; Betulaceae.